This 820-nucleotide ribosomal RNA is filed under the name uncultured eukaryote. RNAcentral describes it as "SSU rRNA". It matches the Rfam family "Eukaryotic small subunit ribosomal RNA", at positions 629 to 1426 of the family's 1831-position model. The record is from RNAcentral.
CGGUGUUUAACUGGCGUGAUGUGGGACGUCCUACCGGUGGGCUUAGCCUCGCGAGGGGCGGCCCAACUAAUAUCCCGUCGCGGUGCUCUUUACUGAGUGUCGAGUCGGGCCGGUACGUUUACUUUGAACAAAUUAGAGUGCUUAAAGCAGGCUAUCCUCGCCUGAAUACUGCGUGCAUGGAAUAAUGGAAUAGGACCUCGGUUCUAUUUUGUUGGUUUUCGGAACCCCGGGGUAAUGAUUAAUAGGGACAGAUGGGGGCAUUCGUAUUGCGACGUUAGAGGUGAAAUUCUUGGAUCGUCGCAAGACGGACAGAAGCGAAAGCAUUUGCCAAAAAUGUUUUCAUUAAUCAAGAACGAAAGUUAGAGGUUCGAAGGCGAUCAGAUACCGCCCUAGUUCUAACCAUAAACGAUGCCAGCUAGCGAUCCGCCGAAGUUCCUCCGAUGACUCGGCGGGCAGCUUCCGGGAAACCAAAGCUUUUGGGUUCCGGGGGAAGUAUGGUUGCAAAGCUGAAACUUAAAGGAAUUGACGGAAGGGCACCACCAGGAGUGGAGCCUGCGGCUUAAUUUGACUCAACACGGGAAACCUCACCAGGCCCAGACACCGGAAGGAUUGACAGAUUGAUAGCUCUUUCUUGAUUCGGUGGGUGGUGGUGCAUGGGCCGUUCUUAGUUGGUGGAGCGAUUUGUCUGGUUAAUUCCGAUAACGAACGAGACUCUAGCCUGCUAAAUAGGCGUACCUUAUGGUAUCGCGAAGGCCCCCGGCUUCGGCCGGUGGGUUUUUACUACCAACGUACAAACAAAUCUUCUUAGAGGGACAGGCGG